RNAcentral lists this non-coding RNA (75 nucleotides) under Deltaproteobacteria bacterium. Lineage: Bacteria; Pseudomonadati; Myxococcota; Myxococcia. The record is from RNAcentral.
AGCCGAAACACCCCCCAGUGACAGUGGGGGGUUUAUACCAGGACUGGUCCCCUGGUACUGAUGAGGCAGACCCUC